CCUCCUUAUUGACAUCCUCUCCUCCCUUGGCUUCUGAGACACUCUAUUCUGGUUUUCCAUGGGCUUGGCCACCUGGCUCAUUAUGCCUCUGAGGAAGGAGGUGGAGAGUUGGGUGAGUGCCUGAAGGAAAAGCCCAUCUAGACAGAGGAGCAGCCAGCUGAGUGCCACAGUCUAGGAAGGAGAGUGAGGAACUGGAAACUGUUCAGAAGAAAGAAAACAGAAUACUGAAUCUUCAAAUCCAUUCCAUGAUUAGGGCAGAGAGAGAUUGCAGGUGACUGAGAAAUUGAAGAAUAAAGUCGCAUUCCAGAGAUGUCAAAUAUAUACUGUGUGACUUUCCAUGGAAGGAAUAUGGCCUAGAGUUAGAAGACCCAUUUUUAGUGUUUGUAGCCUUGGCUUUUUCAGAUAGAUACACAGUGCCAGAAAUAGUCUGUUGUGGUCAGUCAUCUCAUCAAGUCUCCUGCUUUCUGAAAGCUGUUUGGUGCCGGGAACCUGAAUUAUUAUUUAAGAAGAAGGGAAAAAAAGUUUAUUUAUUGUGA
RNAcentral lists this long non-coding RNA (536 nucleotides) under Monodelphis domestica (gray short-tailed opossum). Its description in RNAcentral is "lncRNA (ENSMODG00000037848.1)". Lineage: Eukaryota; Metazoa; Chordata; Mammalia; Didelphimorphia; Didelphidae. The record is from RNAcentral.